This 731-nucleotide long non-coding RNA is filed under the name Monodelphis domestica (gray short-tailed opossum). RNAcentral's name for it is "lncRNA (ENSMODG00000048948.1)". Lineage: Eukaryota; Metazoa; Chordata; Mammalia; Didelphimorphia; Didelphidae. The record is from RNAcentral.
GGGAGGGUAAAAGGAAGGAGGUGGGCUCGGUAGCCUCGCCCUCUUGCCUAAAUUCUGAAGGUGACACUUAGCCAGCCCCGCACCAUCUUUUGUCCCUUUUCCCUCUUACCCUUCGUCCUUUUUUUUCUACUUCCUCCCUCCUUUUCUCUUUCCACUUCCUUUCUCCCCUCCCCCUCCUACUCUCUUCUUCUUUCCUCUCCCACCUCCUCCUUUUUCCCAUUUCCCUUCCCUCUCUUCCUCCCCCUUCCUUCUUCUUGAUACACACCUCUACCCACUUAUCCACCUUCCAACCCUUAACCCUGGAGGAGGACACGUGGGAGAUUUGGCCCCAGAGGAUGUCCUGUGCAGUGUGAAGAGAAGAGGGAUUCCCUGUGGACAAUGACAUCCUCCAGAUGUUUCUCUUUAUGGCUGAUAAUGUGUGAACUGAUCAAGCCCCCAAGUACCACAGAACCUCUUCAACAAAAGUCAUGGAUAUUCAGAAGAGAUUGGAUUGACACAUGAAAAUUCAAAUGGAGGAAGAAUAUCUAUUCUUUUGGCUAUGAGAUGCAGCUGGAUGGACAGUCUGUAUAGUUUAUUCCUCAGCACAUCUUGAAUGAACACUGAAGAUUGAAAAUAAGGUAGACCCAGAAUAGAAACAAGAGAAAGGGAAUGACCUAGAUUUAAGUUUAUAAGUUACGUAGCUCUUUAAGUGAUCCCACACUGACAUAAAAAUUCAUCUUUUUAAACACUAA